Molecule: unclassified non-coding RNA, 228 nt
Filed under: uncultured fungus
Lineage: Eukaryota; Fungi
Description: sequence contains ITS1
Source: RNAcentral
UUUUUUGUUAUGGUUUUUGUUACAUUCUUUGACUAGUGUUAAAUAGUAAAGCCGCAAACUGAAUCUUAACGCAUUGAUCCGCCCUCUACCGAGGUACUUCAACAAUACAAAAAGCUUCAAUUCGCCAAAUAGUGCACAGUGUUGGAGAGUGGAGGUCAGGCCUCUCGGGUUAAAUCGAGAGCACCCUAAAAUUCACUAAUGAUCCUUCCGCAGGUUCACCUACGGAAA